This 501-nucleotide ribosomal RNA is filed under the name uncultured bacterium. RNAcentral's name for it is "partial 16S ribosomal RNA". It matches the Rfam family "Bacterial small subunit ribosomal RNA", at positions 29 to 523 of the family's 1533-position model. The record is from RNAcentral.
AUUGAACGCUGGCGGCAUGCCUUACACAUGCAAGUCGAACGGCAGCACGGGUGCUUGCACCUGGUGGCGAGUGGCGAACGGGUGAGUAAUACAUCGGAACGUACCUUAUCGUGGGGGAUAACGCAGCGAGAGCUGUGCUAAUACCGCAUACGCCCUGAGGGGGAAAGCGGGGGAUCGCAAGACCUCGCGCGAUUAGAGCGGCCGAUGCCUGAUUAGCUAGUUGGUGGGGUAAAAGCCCACCAAGGCGACGAUCAGUAGCUGGUCUGAGAGGACGAUCAGCCACACUGGGACUAAGACACGGCCCAGACUCCUACGGGAGGCAGCAGUGGGGAAUUUUGGACAAUGGGGGCAACCCUGAUCCAGCAAUGCCGCGUGAGUGAAGAAGGCCUCCGGGUUGUAAAGCUCUUUUGUCAGGGAAGAAACACCGGCUCUAACACAGUCCGGGAAUGACGGUACCUGAAGAAUAAGCACCGGCUAACUACGUGCCAGCCGCCGCGGUAA